UGUUCGGCACAGUGCUUAUGUUCUGGCUUCCUGUUCGGCUCAGUGCUUACUGCUCUAAUUGGGGGCAACAUAGCUCAGGAGGUAAGAGCGGUUGUCUGGCAGUAGGAGGUUUGCCGGUUCGAUCCCCCACCAUGGGCGUGUCGAAGUGUCCCUGAGCAGGACACCUAACCCCUAAUUGCUCCCAACGAGCUGAUUGGUAUCUUGCAUGGCAGCCUUUCGCCGUUGGUGUGUGAGCGUGAAUGGGUGAAUGGGUGAAUGAGAGGCAUCAAUUAUAAAGCGCUAUGUAAAUGCAGGCCAUUUACCAUAUAAUUGAUUCAUAAAGUGCAGAGUCACUGUGAAAGCCAGCAGACCCUGUAGCUCUCCAGGACCAGGCUUGGAGACCGCUGGUGUAGAGCAUUGUGUCUGGAUGGGUUUUGCAGACAGCUAAGGAUGGCAGCGCCUCUUUGUCCGUCUGGUCCCCUGCUGGCUGAUCGGGCACCUGUCUGCGAGCUCACCUGGCACGCGGCGUACGAAAGAGCCUUCCUCGCACUCGUCUGCGCGGGGACCCAUUCACAAAACAAAGAGCGGCUGGCAUCGUGCGCUUCGGAGGAGAGCGCGCGCUCGUUUCAAAAAUUACGAUCCUAGUCCUAGACUCAAAGAACAAUUCAGUGAAGAUCUCCAUUGAAAAAAAAGAAGGCCUAGUCCAUGUCUGGGAAACCAAUCUUUAAUUGUUCUUUUUUUUUGUUUAAUUUUCUUACACCAGAGGAACAAACAACUUUGCCAAUUCCUCAAAACCAACUAAUUCAUAAACAAACUAAAUAACAUGGGAUGUAUGUACAAAUAAACAGGGAAAUAAAGUCUUGAUGAUCACCUCUGCCCGUGGACAGACAGUGGCAGCCAUUUUAACAGUUUUCAAAGUCUCUGAACCUUCAUCACGUGAAGGGAAGUCCUCCCAUUCAUAAACACAAGGCUCCUUAAAUGAACCGUGUUUGUCGAUGCCACAUAACGUGUUCUCCACCUUCUCACACACAUGCACAAACACACGCAAACUCACACAAGCCUUCUCACACACACUCAAACACACAGACUCGCACAUGAGCUCUUGCACACACACUCAUACACACAGACUCACACAAGCUUUAUCACACACACUCAUACAC
Molecule: long non-coding RNA, 1139 nt
Organism: Anguilla rostrata (American eel)
Lineage: Eukaryota; Metazoa; Chordata; Actinopteri; Anguilliformes; Anguillidae
Exons: 2
Source: RefSeq, a predicted model, not a curated record